CUUGAAUUCAUCUGGCACUGUUGACCAACACAGAGAGCCAAAACACACACGGAAUUCAAAAUCAGAAAUAAUCCCAAGUUUGAGUCAUCCAAUGUGCUUGUCUACAUUGAUUGCACUCACCAGAUAAAAGUCCAAUGCACUCUGUGGGGUGAAACAGCCUCUGUCUCAGGUUGGGAGUUGCUGCCAUGGAGACCACAAGAGUGGAGAUUUUCUGACACACAGAAAGGAAUGGAUUACAGCUCCUUCUUAUGUAAAUUUCCAUGGAGGGGAAAAAAGAUUAAAAGGAAAAUAAUUCUGCUUUAGUCGUUUUCCUUUAAGGUGAUAAGAUCCUUUGAUUCCAUCGUGGAGAAGAAGGCAACAGCUGUUUGUCACAAAUGCUAUUUGAUGCACCUGCUAUUAUUACUCUUAUUACCAUUUUCCAGUGGGAAGCUGCUUCUUGGGCAGGGUGGAUUUCCAUCUGCGUCUCCUUUUCGGUGUUGAAAGCUGGUCCAAAAUGGCUGCUAAAAUUCCUGCCACUACAUCUGGAUCCCAGGCAGCAGGAAGGAGAAAUGGAAGAAGACCUGUCCUGUCCCUGAGACAAUGCCAUUCAGCAUGUUCCAUACAAUAUCUCUGCUUAUUGAUCACUGGCCAGAACUUGACAGAGAUGAACAAUGAGGCUUUUUUGUUCUGCUUUUUAUGUUCUGCUACAGACAAAAAGAAAAAAAAGCGUAUGUAUUUAUAGUCUACUUGAUUUUAAUAAAGGAUUGAGUGCAGCCUAAGGCAUGUGCAUGUUAUCCUGUAGGUAACAGGGGCCACAAAUGGGUUGUGGCUAAUGGAACAUGGCUGAAGGGUCUGUGCCAGUUCUGAGCCUCAGGAGGCACUGCUGUUUCUUCUUGCCCUUCUGGGACUUUUGCCAUGGGAAGAACCCACAGUCUUGGGGUCUUUUUCAGCCUGGGUUCCAGAAUGAGAUGCAUUCUGAACAUGAAGGUGGGGCAGAUCUGAACUUGACCCAUCACCUGAAGCCAAACUGUCCAAACCACCUCUCAAAGCUAUGAGCAACAAAUAAAUGCUUAUUUUGUGCGCCUCAGAGAUUUGUAAUUGCUAUACAGCAUCAUUGUAGCAGAAGCCUGUGAAUGCCCCUGGUAACUAGAUUCCUCUCUAUUCUCUCAUACUGUGAGUGCUAGACAGGAGAUGUGGCCAGUCCUGCCUGUUCAGUAUACCAGGUGACCCCAGAGAUAGUGGGAGGGAAAUGCCACACAGAAAUGUCAUUGCACAAAAGAGAAAUGCAGUGCUCAUGUGCAUGUGAGAGCUGGCACUCAGGUGAGCACCAGGGAUGGUUUAGCUCAGGGACUCUCAAACUCAGCACUACUGACAUUGUGCUGUGGGGGUCUCUCUGGUGCAUGGAAGUUAAGAAGUGUCCCCGGCCUCCACCCACUAGAUACCAGCGGCACCUCCUCCCUCCCAUGCUGUGACAAUCAAAAAUGUCUCUAGACAUUGCCAAAUAUACCCCGUGUGGCAAAAUCACUCCCAACUGAGAACCACAGAUUUAGCUGAUCUGGCUUCAGUUCUUCUGAUAAGACCAGAAAAUGACAACUAAUGACACCACUUAUUGAGCAUGUACUGAAUUCCAGGCACUUGGUUAGGCAUUUUCAGGAAUUAAUUGAAUUUGGAAGGUUUAUGAAUGAGGAAGCUCAGGACAGAGAGAAGUAACUUGCUCCAGUAACAUGUUUAGUCCACGGUGGAGCUAAGGCCAAGCUGUCUGACUCCAGGAUUCGUGCUCUUGACCAUACUCUCCAUGCUGCCUCCCCCAGAAAUUAACCCCUUGAGCGAGUCAGGAAAAGAUGCGUCGACACAAGUGUUAUUCUCGUGAAUAUCACUUGAAUUCUGUAUGUGUGUCUUAUAGUAGCAAAAACAGUGUGGGCUUGGUCAGGUGCGAUUCUCGCUACCCUUACAUAGCUGUGGAAUAACCUCGAUAGUCACCGUCGUACUUCCCUGCCUACCUGAGUGGGGCUACACAGACUGCAGGAUGUAUCCAGCCUCUUCAGGCUUUUUCUGGACAACUCAGUCCUACUUAGUGAAAACGUGUUUCGAGAUCCUGCGCCUCUUUGAUGAUAGAGAUAAAAAGCCUUAAAAAGGUUUCUACCCAUUAGUCUAGCAAUUCCACUUCUUGGAAUUUAUCCUUAGGAAGGAAUCAAAUAUGUCAAAUCAAACAAAGAGUUAUGCAUAGGAUAUUUGAUUUUAGUGUGAUUUGCAAGAGCAAACAUUGAAUACGAUAUUGGGCAAAUAAAUUACAGCAUGUCCAGAUGGUGGUAUGUUCGACUUGUAGAUGAAUAUUUUCUUCCAAGGGAAAAACUUCAUGAUAUAUUAUUCUUUGAGAAAAAAAAAGAUUUGAAUACCAUGUAGCAUAUGAUCCCAAUUUUGGAAAUUGUGUAUAUAUUACACCAUCAUAUUGAACAAGCAGGGACUUGUAGGAUGCAACAGAAACGAAUCGUAUUUUUGGUCUCCCACUGUCUUGUUAAGCUUGUUCUGCAAUAUUUAUUCUGCUCCUUAAUAAAAGUGGGGCAAGUUCUACGAAGUCUUUUGUCGCCCUUAUCUAAGAAAACAUGAUCCAGUUACUUCUUCCACAAAAACCCAGUCUCCAUUGGUAAUUAAUAUGCCCAUUCCAGGAUAAGGACCCAAAUCCUCCCAUCGACAUUGCAAAUGAAAAUUUCCUCCCUCUCCCAGCUUUGCUGCAUUAGGCUGGCACCUGCAGUGAGAAGGGGUUGUGGGGCUGUGCGCCUCUAUUUGCUUCACCUGGUGCUUCCAUUUUCCCUCCAUACUCCCCCCACCCCUUGGCUUCUCCAGGAUUGGCCAGGGCAAGAGGAGAAGAGAGGAGGGAAGCGGGUGGGAAGAGACUCACUCCGCUGGUGGUGUUCCAGCCAUCUGGGGUUGACAGAUGACUCACCUCAUGGGUUCCUUCAUGGGUAAUUUGCAGCAACCGCCUCUUAUCUGCCUUUGCCUGACUGGGAGCAUGCAUCUCUUCUGACCGUUCCUCCACUGCUUCUCCCUCACCCCCUAGCAUCUGGCGCCGCACCUCCCAGGCCAGUUCUGCUCCAUGGGAAACUCACACAUGCUUUGCCCUGACAG
This 3105-nucleotide long non-coding RNA is filed under the name Homo sapiens (human). RNAcentral describes it as "HSALNT0142921". Lineage: Eukaryota; Metazoa; Chordata; Mammalia; Primates; Hominidae. The record is from RNAcentral.